UCCACAACAUUAUUGCACUGGGUUGUCAUCUCACAUUUCAUAAAUCCUUGAAAAUAAGCUCCUGAAAAGCAGGGAUAAAGUGACAUUUGGGAAUGGAGUAAAAUCACAACCUAAAUGUGAACUCCAGCAAUGGUUGGGAGUUGGGUUACCAGCUCCUCCGUCUAUUUAGAAUGGCUUAGAGCUGGGUCGGAGCUGUUUGCUUAGCCCCGUUACGAACACAAGGGUUGAACUCCUGGCCCCCUCCCUCAUAAAUAAACUGAUGUCCAGGCUGAAGUCAGAUGCCCAUCUUUUCUGGAAGUGACAUCUACAGCUCACAUCCGAAAAAAUCUCCGGGGUGAAGAGGGUUAAGAAACAUAAAUCUUGGAAAAUAGUUUAUUAAUUCUGUGAUAGAAGCUCAUGCCUAUGAAAGUCAGCAGGAUGGAUUAGGCUGCCUGCGUGUACAGUAAGGAGGGUUUUUUUCCCUUCCUCCCCCCAUCCCAUUUUAAUUAGAACCAGAUUUAGAAAGUGGGACUUUCCUGAAUAAUCAGCCACAGUAAACCUUUAAUCUCAGUCACCUCCAUGAGAAUAGAAUAGGAAAUUGAUGUGCAGAAAGAGGGGAGGCACAGAUGAAGGGGAUGGCAAGGGAAGGACAGGUCACUGAAGUCGCCUCUUUAAGGCUAUUGUUAUUGUUUUUCAGAUGUGGCUGUGUCAGUAACUCAUAGGGCCCAAAGGGGCUUUCCCUGCAGCAUUCACCAUUGUGAGAUAUCAGGAGCCAGAGCGCAGGAUAUAAUCACUAUUUGAUGCACGCAAUUGCCAACAUGGCUUCUUUUCUCAAAAUAAAAUAAAAUGGUCCCAGAGGAAAAAGGAUUUACAAGUAAUGUUGAGUCCAGGAGAGCAGUUCUGGAUCCUGCUGCUGGUCUGGUGGUGACCCAGCCUGAGCCACAUUCCUGCAUGGGGCAACAGUUACUGCAACUGUAGCACAGGGCUAGUGAUAACUGAAACCCCCAGAAAAGCACCUGGAGAUACAGCAGCAAAAUCAAAAGGGUCAUCGUGUGAGAUAAAGAACCACCACUUGAACUCAUCUGACUUCACUCCAGCCCUGUGCUUAACCCCUUGUGACCGUGUUUUCCCUCCCUUUCCUAAGCAGGAUGUUCAGGAUGAUGACCUGACCCUGCAAACCGUACAGAUGUGGGUGAGCUCUGUUCCUGGGCACAGCUGGCGUUCACCCUGGAGCGGCCACUCCAUUCUCUCUUGCAUUUCAAACAUCCCUCACUGUGGCGAGGCUGUUGAUUUGCUAUUGCAGUUGAAAAUUUUUGACAGGUGACUCAUCCCUGCUCUAGCAAUAUGCUGCGUUUGAUCAUCGAGUCCUAGAGGGCUUUUAGCAAGCAAUUAGGAGGUGGAUGUGAAAAUAAUUUGUACGUUUGUCUGUUUGUUGUUUGUCUCCAGCUCUCCUGUAAUCAGUUACCUCUCUGCCUUCCGCUGUGGGCAGGAGGGGCCCAAGAAAUUCGGUUGUCAUGGGAGAGGGCUGUUCGGGGCUGUUGGGAGCUGUCGUGCUGCUACUUGUCCACAUCCCCAACGAAAAGCUCUCCACUAAUAAUUACCACAUCACUGCAAACAGACUGAGGAGAGACAUGAUGUAAAAAUUAAAUUACUUAAAACAUUUUUUGGGCUAACACUCGGCUUUAUAUAAACUCAGAGACAAUCCUAUAAGGCACUCAGGGCAGAUUAUAGGUUUGGGCAAAGCUAGAAAAUUGCUGCCAUUAUAUUGUUAUUAUUAACACCUUGUAAUUAGCCCUAAGGAAUCCUGAAGUUCUCUCUCCUGAUUUGGCUUUAAUGAAGGAAAAUUGCUACCUUUGCAAGUUGGAUGGCGCCCGCUCUGAUUAAUCUUAAGUAUAUAGGACUAUUAUUUUGAAAAUGUUUGUUGUCAUGUGAAUAUUAGUAUUGCAUGUAAAGGGGGGGGGGGAGUGCAGUGGGCUCUUCUCUCUCUUGGCUGUGAUGAGUCACAUGUUCACUUUAGUUACGGUCAUUCCCUUCAAGAUAGAGAAUGGAAACCUUGAGAAGAUAUCCCGACCACAAGCUAAUGAAUUCAGGAGGAUCCUGUGGCAAGGGCUGCCAGCUGCCCUACUGGCUGAUUGCAUUGGCUGAUGGAGUAAUUGUUGCAUGGAGAUAGUUUUAUGAUUGCUUUGAGAGUCUGAAUGAGAUCAUGCAUGAGUUAGCACACUAAGUGCAAUAAAAAUGAUUUUAUUUGCA
Numida meleagris (helmeted guineafowl) is the source of this 2229-nucleotide long non-coding RNA. The record is from Ensembl. NCBI's taxonomy places the organism in Eukaryota, Metazoa, Chordata, Aves, Galliformes, Numididae.